Long non-coding RNA from Labeo rohita (rohu), 504 nucleotides. RefSeq lists it as uncharacterized. The transcript has 4 exons. Lineage: Eukaryota; Metazoa; Chordata; Actinopteri; Cypriniformes; Cyprinidae. The record is from RefSeq and is a predicted model, not a curated record.
CGGUCAUGUAGGCAUUUAAAUAGUAUGGAAGGAAUGCCCCCACUCAUGCAAGAUCAUAGUAAACUGGAAAGAUGCGACAUGAGGACAGGAGAGCAGAUUCUGCAUUUAGAAGUAUGAAAAGAAUUCCCCCACUCAUGGAAGGAGAGCAUGGAAGUCAAAGCACAAUACAGCCUAAAGAAGAGAUUACUGCCACUGAGCAAGAGUUAUCAUUCCCAGAUUCAUCAUCACAGGUUUUGCAAAGAUUAAAAAGAUCAGAAGUUGUAUGUUUAACAGAAAGAGCUACACAAACCCAACAGAGCCAUGAAGCAACAAGAGAAGAAACAACACAAUCACAUUCACCACAAACACUAGAGAGACCAAAAAGCAGGGGGCAAAGGAGACAAGAAAAAAGAGAGAGAAAAUGCCACAUUUUGUAAUUAAAUAUAUUCUCUUAAUUACUACAGGUUUGUUGUGAUUAAACAUUUGUAUAGAAUAAGUCUUAUAUUAGUAUGACUAAUUGACCAU